Molecule: ribosomal RNA, 460 nt
Filed under: uncultured bacterium
Lineage: Bacteria
Description: partial 16S ribosomal RNA
Rfam family: Bacterial small subunit ribosomal RNA
Source: RNAcentral
CCUACGGGCGGCAGCAGUGAGGAAUAUUGGUCAAUGGACGAGAGUCUGAACCAGCCAAGUAGCGUGAAGGAUGACUGCCCUAUGGGUUGUAAACUUCUUUUAUAAAGGAAUAAAACGAGGCACGUGUGCCUUUUUGCAUGUACUUUAUGAAUAAGGAUCGGCUAACUCCGUGCCAGCAGCCGCGGUAAUACGGAGGAUCCGAGCGUUAUCCGGAUUUAUUGGGUUUAAAGGGAGCGUAGAUGGGUUGUUAAGUCAGUUGUGAAAGUUUGCGGCUCAACCGUAAAAUUGCAAUUGAUACUGGCAGUCUAGAGUACAGUUGAGGUAGGCGGAAUUCGUGGUGUAGCGGUGAAAUGCUUAGAUAUCACGAAGAACCCCGAUUGCGAAGGCAGCUUACUAAACUGUGACUGACAUUGAUGCUCGAAAGUGUGGGUAUCAAACAGGAUUAGAUACCCUUGUAGUC